Non-coding RNA from Petromyzon marinus (sea lamprey), 304 nucleotides. Lineage: Eukaryota; Metazoa; Chordata; Hyperoartia; Petromyzontiformes; Petromyzontidae. The record is from RefSeq and is a predicted model, not a curated record.
GAGUCUCUGUGUGAGUCUCUGUGUGAGUCUCUGAGCGAGUCUCCGAGUGAGUCUCUGAGCGAGUCUCUGAGUGACUCACAGGGCGACUCACAGGGCGACUCACAGGGCGACUCACAGGGUGACUCACAGGGUGACUCACAGGGCGAGUCUCUGAGCGACUCACAGGGCGACUCACAGGGCGACUCACAGGGCGAGCGAGGAAGGGUUCUCAAGGUGUCUCCGCAGGAGCUGCAGGAAGGCCGCCGCUCCGUCCUGGUCCACCACUCGGCCGUCGCUCGCUAGCGACAGUGAGUCUUAGACUCUG